UCUUCCGUUAAGGGGACCUGCGGAAGGAUCAUUGAAUCUAUCAAUACCAACACCAAGCGAACCUUUCUGUUCGGUCCUCGGGCUCGGAUUCAGUUCCGAGCCCGUGCAGCCGGGGCCUGGAUCCUCUGUGUGAACCGGAGGAGACGGGCUCUCAGGCUGGGUUCGCCCUCGAAAGGCCUAACAGCCCUUGAGAGGUGUCGCGCCGGCCCCUUAUUUAACAACCAUAUUAACACCAAACCGAAACCUUUCUUGAAUCUUAUUAAAUGCGGCAGGCCAAGCCUACGCAUCUUAACUAAGACAACUCUCAACAACGGAUAUCUUGGCUCUCGCAACGAUGAAGAACGCAGCGAAAUGCGAUACGUAGUGUGAAUUGCAGAAUUCCGUGAACCAUCGAAUCUUUGAACGCAUAUUGCGCUCGAGGCUUCGGCCGAGAGCAUGUCUGCCUCAGCGUCGGGUUUAUAUCAUCCCCUCCACUCCUCAUGGUGAAAGAGAGAGGAUGGACCUGGCCGUUCCAGCGAAGCCCCCCCUUUCGCCUCUGCGCGAAAGGAUAUGGCUCUGGAUCGGCUGAAGAGCAGAGCACUGAAUCAGGACCCAUACCAAAGGGCCGCAACUGGGUGGGCAAUCUUAAAACCAUUGCUGAAAGCUUUAGUUGUUGGCCUGGGCUUCUUGAUAGGCAGUCCUCCAACCAGGAAACCUGAUUAAACCCUUAUAUCCUCGACCUGAGCUCAGGCAAGAACACCCGCUGAACUUAAGCAUAUCAAUAGCCGGAGGAAA
Molecule: ribosomal RNA, 774 nt
Filed under: Chlamydomonas irregularis
Lineage: Eukaryota; Viridiplantae; Chlorophyta; Chlorophyceae; Chlamydomonadales; Chlamydomonadaceae
Description: eukaryotic LSU rRNA
Rfam family: 5.8S ribosomal RNA (bases 300-453)
Source: RNAcentral